This 179-nucleotide ribosomal RNA is filed under the name uncultured Actinomycetes bacterium. RNAcentral describes it as "uncultured actinobacterium partial 16S ribosomal RNA". It matches the Rfam family "Bacterial small subunit ribosomal RNA", at positions 1064 to 1242 of the family's 1533-position model. The record is from RNAcentral. Lineage: Bacteria; Bacillati; Actinomycetota; Actinomycetes.
GUCGUGAGAUGUUGGGUUAAGUCCCGCAACGAGCGCAACCCUUGUCUUAUGUUGCCAGCACGUGAUGGUGGGGACUCAUGAGAGACUGCCGGGGUCAACUCGGAGGAAGGUGGGGAUGACGUCAAAUCAUCAUGCCCCUUAUGUCCAGGGCUUCACACAUGCUACAAUGGCCGGUACAG